RNAcentral lists this ribosomal RNA (253 nucleotides) under uncultured bacterium. Its description in RNAcentral is "partial 16S ribosomal RNA". It matches the Rfam family "Bacterial small subunit ribosomal RNA", at positions 524 to 776 of the family's 1533-position model. The record is from RNAcentral.
UACAGAGGUCCCAAGCGUUGUUCGGAUUCAUUGGGCGUAAAGGGUGCGUAGGCGGCGCGGUAAGUCGGGUGUGAAAUCUCGGAGCUUAACUCCGAAACUGCAUUCGAUACUGCCGUGCUUGAGGACUGGAGAGGAGACUGGAAUUUACGGUGUAGCGGUGAAAUGCGCAGAUAUCAGGAGGAACACCGGUGGCGAAGGCGGGUCUCUGGACAGUUCCUGACGCUGAGGCACGAAGGCCAGGGGAGCAAACGGG